GGGGAUUUAGCUCAAUGGUACUGCAUCUGCCUUGCAAGCAGAAGGUCCUGAGUUCGAUCCCCAGUACCACCA
This 72-nucleotide transfer RNA is filed under the name Fukomys damarensis (Damara mole-rat). It matches the Rfam family "tRNA". From Rfam's summary of the family: Transfer RNA (tRNA) molecules are approximately 80 nucleotides in length. Their secondary structure includes four short double-helical elements and three loops (D, anti-codon, and T loops). Lineage: Eukaryota; Metazoa; Chordata; Mammalia; Rodentia; Bathyergidae. The record is from Rfam by way of RNAcentral.